RNAcentral lists this ribosomal RNA (253 nucleotides) under uncultured bacterium. RNAcentral describes it as "partial 16S ribosomal RNA". It matches the Rfam family "Bacterial small subunit ribosomal RNA", at positions 524 to 776 of the family's 1533-position model. The record is from RNAcentral.
UACGGGGGGGGCAAGCGUUGUUCGGAAUUACUGGGCGUAAAGGGCUCGUAGGUGGCCAACUAAGUCAGACGUGAAAUCCCUCAGCUUAACUGGGGAACUGCGUCUGAUACUGGAUGGCUUGAGUUUGGGAGAGGGAUGCGGAGUUCCAGGUGUAGCGGUGAAAUGCGUAGAUAUCUGGAGGAACACCGGUGGCGAAGGCGGCUACCUGGACCGGUUCUGACGCUGAUGCGCGAAAGCGUGGGUAGCAAACAGG